UUAAGCGACUAAGCGUACACGGUGGAUGCCCUGGCAGUCAGAGGCGAUGAAGGACGUGCUAAUCUGCGAAAAGCGUCGGUAAGGUGAUAUGAACCGUUAUAACCGGCGAUGUCCGAAUGGGGAAACCCAGUGCAAUUCGUUGCACUAUCGUUAACUGAAUACAUAGGUUAACGAGGCGAACCGGGGGAACUGAAACAUCUAAGUACCCCGAGGAAAAGAAAUCAACCGAGAUUCCCCCAGUAGCGGCGAGCGAACGGGGAGCAGCCCAGAGUCUGAAUCAGCUUGUGUGUUAGUGGAACGGUCUGGAAAGUCCGACGGUACAGGGUGAUAGUCCCGUACACCAAAAUGCACAGGUUGUGAACUCGAAGAGUAGGGCGGGACACGUGGUAUCCUGUCUGAAUAUGGGGGGACCAUCCUCCAAGGCUAAAUACUCCUGACUGACCGAUAGUGAACCAGUACCGUGAGGGAAAGGCGAAAAGAACCCCGGCGAGGGGAGUGAAAAAGAACCUGAAACCGUGUACGUACAAGCAGUGGGAGCACCUUCGGGUGUGACUGCGUACCUUUUGUAUAAUGGGUCAGCGACUUAUAUUCUGUAGCAAGGUUAACCGUAUAGGGGAGCCGCAGGGAAACCGAGUCUUAACUGGGCGUUAAGUUGCAGGGUAUAGACCCGAAACCCGGUGAUCUAGCCAUGGGCAGGUUGAAGGUUGGGUAACACUAACUGGAGGACCGAACCGACUAAUGUUGAAAAAUUAGCGGAUGACUUGUGGCUGGGGGUGAAAGGCCAAUCAAACCGGGAGAUAGCUGGUUCUCCCCGAAAGCUAUUUAGGUAGCGCCUCGUGAACUCAUCUUCGGGGGUAGAGCACUGUUUCGGCUAGGGGGUCAUCCCGACUUACCAACCCGAUGCAAACUACGAAUACCGAAGAAUGUUAUCACGGGAGACACACGGCGGGUGCUAACGUCCGUCGUGAAGAGGGAAACAACCCAGACCGCCAGCUAAGGUCCCAAAGUCAUGGUUAAGUGGGAAACGAUGUGGGAAGGCACAGACAGCCAGGAUGUUGGCUUAGAAGCAGCCAUCAUUUAAAGAAAGCGUAAUAGCUCACUGGUCGAGUCGGCCUGCGCGGAAGAUGUAACGGGGCUAAACCAUGCACCGAAGCUGCGGCAGCGACACUAUGUGUUGUUGGGUAGGGGAGCGUUCUGUAAGCCUGCGAAGGUGUGCUGUGAGGCAUGCUGGAGGUAUCAGAAGUGCGAAUGCUGACAUAAGUAACGAUAAAGCGGGUGAAAAGCCCGCUCGCCGGAAGACCAAGGGUUCCUGUCCAACGUUAAUCGGGGCAGGGUGAGUCGACCCCUAAGGCGAGGCCGAAAGGCGUAGUCGAUGGGAAACAGGUUAAUAUUCCUGUACUUGGUGUUACUGCGAAGGGGGGACGGAGAAGGCUAUGUUAGCCGGGCGACGGUUGUCCCGGUUUAAGCAUGUAGGCUGAUUGUCCAGGCAAAUCCGGAUAAUCAAGGCUGAGGUGUGAUGACGAGGCACUACGGUGCUGAAGUAACAAAUGCCCUGCUUCCAGGAAAAGCCUCUAAGCAUCAGGUAACAUCAAAUCGUACCCCAAACCGACACAGGUGGUCAGGUAGAGAAUACCAAGGCGCUUGAGAGAACUCGGGUGAAGGAACUAGGCAAAAUGGUGCCGUAACUUCGGGAGAAGGCACGCUGGUGUGUAGGUGAAGUCCCUGCGGAUGGAGCUGAGACCAGUCGAAGAUACCAGCUGGCUGCAACUGUUUAUUAAAAACACAGCACUGUGCAAACACGAAAGUGGACGUAUACGGUGUGACGCCUGCCCGGUGCCGGAAGGUUAAUUGAUGGGGUUAUCCGUAAGGAGAAGCUCUUGAUCGAAGCCCCGGUAAACGGCGGCCGUAACUAUAACGGUCCUAAGGUAGCGAAAUUCCUUGUCGGGUAAGUUCCGACCUGCACGAAUGGCGUAAUGAUGGCCAGGCUGUCUCCACCCGAGACUCAGUGAAAUUGAACUCGCUGUGAAGAUGCAGUGUACCCGCGGCAAGACGGAAAGACCCCGUGAACCUUUACUAUAGCUUGACACUGAACAUUGAGCCUUGAUGUGUAGGAUAGGUGGGAGGCUUUGAAGCGUGGACGCCAGUCUGCGUGGAGCCAACCUUGAAAUACCACCCUUUAAUGUUUGAUGUUCUAACGUUGGCCCCUGACCGGGGUUGCGGACAGUGUCUGGUGGGUAGUUUGACUGGGGCGGUCUCCUCCCAAAGCGUAACGGAGGAGCACGAAGGUUAGCUAAUCCUGGUCGGACAUCAGGAGGUUAGUGCAAUGGCAUAAGCUAGCUUGACUGCGAGCGUGACGGCGCGAGCAGGUGCGAAAGCAGGUCAUAGUGAUCCGGUGGUUCUGAAUGGAAGGGCCAUCGCUCAACGGAUAAAAGGUACUCCGGGGAUAACAGGCUGAUACCGCCCAAGAGUUCAUAUCGACGGCGGUGUUUGGCACCUCGAUGUCGGCUCAUCACAUCCUGGGGCUGAAGUAGGUCCCAAGGGUAUGGCUGUUCGCCAUUUAAAGUGGUACGCGAGCUGGGUUUAGAACGUCGUGAGACAGUUCGGUCCCUAUCUGCCGUGGGCGCUGGAGAAUUGAGGGGGGCUGCUCCUAGUACGAGAGGACCGGAGUGGACGCAUCACUGGUGUUCGGGUUGUCAUGCCAAUGGCACUGCCCGGUAGCUAAAUGCGGAAGAGAUAAGUGCUGAAAGCAUCUAAGCACGAAACUUGCCCCGAGAUGAGUUCUCCCUGAGACU
This 2792-nucleotide ribosomal RNA is filed under the name Klebsiella pneumoniae. RNAcentral describes it as "bacterial LSU rRNA". It matches the Rfam family "Bacterial large subunit ribosomal RNA". The record is from RNAcentral. Lineage: Bacteria; Pseudomonadati; Pseudomonadota; Gammaproteobacteria; Enterobacterales; Enterobacteriaceae.